AUGCAAAAUACUUGGUCAAGAGAUGCAAGGGAUGCCAGAAGUUUAGUUCCAAGCAACAUUUGGCGGCUUCUACACUCAAGACCAUUCCCCUUACCUGGCCUUUUGUCGUCUGGGGGACUGGACAUGGUGGGACCAUUCAGGACAGCACGCGGCGACAUGACUCAUUUGCUCAUUUCCGUGGAUAAAUUCACCAAGUGGAUAGAAGCAAAGCCAAUCAAGAAGUUGAACGGUCCGACUGCUGUGACUUUCAUUUCACACAUCACCACUCGGUACGUCAUACCUCACAGCAUCAUCAUCGACAACGGCACAAAUUUUUCUAAGGGAGCUUUGGCUCGUUUCUGUGCGACACAGGGCAUCCGACUAGACUAA
Molecule: ribosomal RNA, 369 nt
Filed under: Triticum aestivum (bread wheat)
Lineage: Eukaryota; Viridiplantae; Streptophyta; Magnoliopsida; Poales; Poaceae
Description: partial small subunit ribosomal RNA
Source: RNAcentral